This is a long non-coding RNA of Anolis carolinensis (green anole), 7384 nucleotides long. RefSeq lists it as uncharacterized. Lineage: Eukaryota; Metazoa; Chordata; Lepidosauria; Squamata; Anolidae. The record is from RefSeq and is a predicted model, not a curated record. The transcript is spliced from 3 exons.
GUGUCAGAAAGCAACCACAAUGAUAAUAACUCUGUUUCUUACAAUGGAUUCAAAUGUAUGGCUUUGCAUACAUACAGUACAGUUUUCUAACAGGAUUGCUCCACCUUAGAAGGCAUGGGCUAUAUUGUAUUUCUACAUCCAGGGUAGGACUUUGUAUCUGGAAAAACUACACUUUAAUGGAAUAGAAAUGACCCAACUUGAUUAGUUUCAGUGGAAUAUGAUAUUCAUUGCUUGAUCCACAUUCUGGCUGACGGAAACCAUUCACCUGCCUGGUAGCACUGGAAUGCCAGAUACAGGAAUCCACUUGGGCAGAAGAUACUGUGUGGUUCCCUGCCAACUGGGAAUGAGGCAAAGCCAUUUGUGUCCUAUCUGGGUAUGCCCGGGUUUCUUACAUCCUCACAGUAGCUUAAGGUGGCUAUCUAUUCUGGAUUAUUUUUGGUGCAUAGGUCCCAUAUAUCCCCAAACUUGAUCCAACCUCAUGCUAAACCUGUCCUUAUUAACUAUGUGAUACGACUAACAGAACAAUCAGUUAUAACAACCCCUUCCCUCCAAAAUUUACAGAGAGUAUGUAUUUAUUCACUUACUUAUUUUGUUGCAUGCCACCUUUCCCUCAGAAUUGUAAGAAAGAUAACCAAAAGUAAUUGACUGUUAGUGUGGUGGUGAAAUCUCCUUAAACCAAGACUUCACUGGCUCCCGUCCUCUGUUUCCUGCCAGCCAACUGACUGACUGUUAUUCUGUUCCAUACCAGAACCCAGGAAGUACGCAUGGGCUUUUGAAAACAAAAUCAGUGCUAGUAUCCGGACCAUGACACCUAUCCUAGAUUUGCUUACCACUGCAGUCACCCAGAGAGUCAGGGACAUAUUUUUCCAAAAUACUCCCAUUAAAUUAUAAGGUUACACAUAGGACUUCAUCACAUGCAAGAUUCUCUCCCUUCCAAUUUCCACACACUUCUAAAAUAGUUCAUAGUUCACGCAACACAGAUUCCAUAAUACGAUGCAAUGGGACCUCUGCCUCUCACCCAUGCUGUGUUGUUUGUGAAUUGUCUCUGAAGUGUAGGGAAACCGGAGAAGGUUUAGAAAGCAGGGAAAAACAUGUAGGUUGGGAUCUGUCAAAUUUGCUCAUGUUGAAUUGCUUCAGUGAUAUGAAGCAAUGGGCGUUCCUAUUAGCACUGAUGCUCCAUUUCUCUCCCCAAAUCCUGCUUCAUAAGGCUGGCAUGGCAAUUUUUUUAAAUUAAUUUAGUCAUUAUGAAUAUCACAAUUUCAAGAUAUAUGUAUAAGCCUUCGACAAUACAUAUCACCACUUUGUUUUUCUUCAUAGUAACUUUGGUUUUCAAAAUUGUGCUACUGCUAGCUUUUUGACUUUGUGUCCCCCCCCCCUUUUUACCAACUACAGUAAGUUCUAGUGCCCAGUAAGUUUUGGACUUCCACAGUAAGGAGAUUGGGAGGGAAAGGAAAGGAGCCUAUAGAAAGAAAUGGUGUCUGUCUUAAGAAUGAUGCCUUCUGUCUCCUUGAGAGAAAAGAGAUGGAGAGGGAAAGUAAAGGUGCCCAUAAAACUGAUGUCUGCCUUAAGAAUGAUGCAUUGUGCCUCCUUCAGAGUAAAGGAGCUUGAGAAGGAAAGUAAAGGAGCCAAGAGAAGUGGUAUCUGCCUUAAGAGCAAUGUCUUGUAUCUUCUUUAUGGAUGGUUGAGCUAGAGGAGGAAGGAGGCAAUCCUGUGUGAUGUGGGUAAGUAAAUUCCCCAUUUUCUUUAAAGACAGAAUCCCUGUUAGAUCCCAGCCAGCCAGGGCACCAGGGCCUGCAGUGUUUCAGGACUUGCACUUUGACACAGAUAAUGCUGAGGAUUAUACUGACAUUUCACCCUCCACAGAGGGGCCUUUGGAGCUGCAGGUGCCCAAAGAUAUUGGCUCUGGAGACUUACUAAUUGUGGAAGGUUCUUCAAUUCCUCCCUCACAGAUAGAGCCAGAUGUUGCUGAGAUGCCUAGGAACGGGGUUUUUAAUCAUAGAGAUUUUGUAACCAGAGAGAGGAGUGCAAAACAAGUCGGGCCGUGCCGUGCCACGACUCUCAAGUAGACCUUGACUUUACUUCAGUUGUUAUUCCUUGUUCCUGUUUCAAGUUUGCCUCAGCCUGGACAACCUUGCUGCCUUGAUUGCUAUGAAGUAUUUCCAGUGGAUUGAACUCUGUUUCUGCCAGCCUUGUUUCUCUGUUUCAACUCAUGGACACUUUGAUUUCUUUGGAGAGCUAGCGAGUUCUCAUUGUGGAUUAUAAUAUCGGACCUUUCCUUUUACCCAAUUGGAACCACCAUUGACUUUCUAAAAAGGACUAUUCCUUACUCAGACUCUAUACCUAACUUCCUUUGGAUUUAUAAUUGCUUUAAUAAAGAUAUAGUGUGAUAUAUUGGCUCUUGUCUGGUUUUUGAGUGCUCAUGCUGCCUUGGGGUGCAACAAUCCCACACAAAGUAAAUGAUUUUCCCCACUUUCCCCUGUUUCUCCCUAUUUCCCCCAACUCUGUCUAUUGAAGUCCAUAGAUCUGAAGCCAUGCAGCCUUUCUCUCCUGAAUAUUCAUUUUGGAUACAUUGCAUCCCACUAGCUGCAGCAAUCUAGAGAAUGUGGGUUUCUGUUCAUUCUGGGGCUUGUUUAAAAACUCAGAUUUGAUUCUAAGUACGUUUGAAAUUCAAGGGAAACAGAUGUAAAUAAAUACUAUAAAAUUGUUGCUCAUCUCUAUUUUCAUAUACUGUACACAGUUGGGAACCUGGCUCAUAGAAAAUAGCCUCAAAAUGUGUUUGUAUCCCUGACUGGAAUCUUGCUAGUGUUUUAUGACAGUGAAAGUUAGACUUGGGUCAUCACAAGUCACCUUUCUAUCAUUGCAGACCUUGGAAUUCUCUAAUAGUCACACAGUGAUUAAAAUCCCCAAGACCACUGUACCCACCUCCUAAACAUGGCCUGUUCCUAGUUAGUGGAAAGCAUGAGGAGCAGCAAGCAACUGCCAACCUAGUUUUCUAUAGCCAGACAUAAAGCAAAGGCAUUAUCUGCAGGGGCUUACUUGUAGAUCUUAAGGCUCCUAUACUGCUUGUUUUAUUUUGGUUUUUAAGAUGUUGCAUUGUUCUUUCUUCUUCUUUACUAUUUGGUUUGCCAUGUGAUAUAUCUAUUUAUUGUUUCAUUGUGUUACAUUUCAUAGAAUCAUAGAGUUGGAAGAGACCUCACGGGCCAUCCAGUCAAACCCCCUGCAAGAAGCAGGAAAAUCUCACUCAAGAUCCCCCGACAGAUGGCCACUACAUUGCCAAGAUAACUUGAUCCUUUAGUAGUCUAAAAGUGCAAACAAUCAGCUGGCAUCUAAUGAUUUGGAAAGAAAGCUUAACAAAUCUCUCACAAACUUGAAUUCUACAGUAGCCACUGCCAAGAGGACUCUGCGCUUGUAGACAUUAGCCACUCAUAGGACACUUUGGAGGAUAUUCCCUAAAGUAUGAGACUUGGCUCAUAUAGGCAAAGCCAAUGUCUUUGUCAAAUAGCACACAGAUAUCAAUUAGUUUCUCUUUUGAUUCCUUUGCUGCAUGUUUUCCUCUCUUUUUACAUUUUUUAAGAUGUGAAUAUGUUGUUGUUAUUAUUCAGCCAUGUUUCCAACUACCCUAGUGUUAAUGACUUCAUUCUCAGUGUGUGAAGACCAUUGUGAAUGUUAAGCACAUGGUUCUUCCCCAGAGAUAUAACCAACGAAACCCUUACUGUCCCUAUAUGGCAUAUGAUUCUCCAGGUGAGCACCAUAUGCUCAGCUUCCACAGUUUCAUUUAAGAAGCACUAAACUUCAGUUAAAGCUAUCUCACCACUUGCUGUUUCCUGUAAGGUUGACAGAGCAUCCAUCUGCACUCUCUCAAGGUCUGAGUUAACUCUGGGCUGACCAUCGUUUUUAUUUGUACAUGGUAUUUAUUGCUGCUCUCCCUCUUAGAUGCCUAGAACAACUUUAUCUGAUGCACAGCCAGAGACAUUCCAGCUUUGGAUUUCUAAAAUUCUAGGACUUGGGCAGAACAUGGAAUGACAUCUGGGACAGGCAAAGGUAUAUAGAAUUCUGGUUGGCCCAAGACAGUUUGCCAUCUGAAAUGGGCUAUUAAAUAGCACUUCUCUUCUGUCCCUACAUUAUAGCUGGGACCAACCUAAGACAUUUCAUUGUCUGACAUACGUCCCAGCACUCCUAAUGUAUCCAAGUCAAGGCACAUAAGGCUUCGUCAAAUGAAAGAGGCAAACCAGCAUUGAAACAAUACUGUCACUUUUGGUUUGUCUCCUCUUCAAGAUAAAUACAUUCCCUGCUAUUGACAGGAAAACUCUUCAAUAGCUACCAAUCCCUGAAUGCUUCUGUCACCUACCUAGUGACAUGGGUUCAUUUUGCUUCUGUGAUAUCAUAGAGUGGGAUUCUGUCCCUCUCUUCUCUCCGCCUCACUAUUCCCAAGGCAGCAAUUUUUGAUUUAAAGUUUUAUUUGCAUUUUUUAAAUUAAGCAUACCUGGAAUUUCACAAUUGCUUUAAAACUGGUUAAAAUUAUGGAGCAACAGAAAUGCGAGAAGGCGAGAUUACAAGAUUAUAUGGAAAUACUUUUUUUAAUAUUUAUUUAUUUAUUUAAAACAUUUAUAUUUCACUCUCCUCACCCUGAAGGGGGCUCAGGGCAGAGCCCAACAUAUAUACGGCAAACAUUCAAUUUCGGAACAUAAAAUAAACCAUAAAUAUACAUAAACACUAAAAUCAGUUAUCUUCACAUUAAAACCAUCAUUUAAAACCAUCACAAGUCUAGUAGGAUAGAAGUGUGGGUCCAUGGACUGGCAAAUCAGCACAGUUGUGUAAAUCAAGCAAUAUUCAGUAGCAAAGAUGCUCAUACUGGUAUCUUGCUGCUAUCAGUGAUUGCGCAAAUGCCGUGAAAUAGUACUUUCAUUCAGUAAAAUCCAUAGUACCAGGCAUGUUAUUUUGGCACGUAAAAUGUCUCUAUAUACCUUGCAGUAAGAGCUGUAGAGUAACAAACUAACUUAGAUAACAAUUUGCUUCCUUUUCAUUGAUGCUUGAACCCACUACCACACUACCUCGAAUAGUAAAUCCAGCCAGAUUGAACUGAAGAUAUGCCUCUCAACUGAAGAGUAAAUAUAUAUAUUUUGUUCUGUAUUCAUAAUUACUUCCCUUCAUCCUGAUUGUGACACUAUUGGCAUAAUCAUAAGUCUCCCCCUGCUCCUCCCCUAAAAUCCACAUACUGUACUUUACUGGGAAUCUUCUUCAUAGAGACAAGGAUAUCCAUUUUGCCAAGGCUUGAAACAUGGAUGAAUAACAUUUCUGUUAGAUUUAAAAGGAUCAGGACAUGACUGUUUGUUUACUUAGUUAAGUAACUAAAUAGUUGACACAGGAAUAUGGCCCAUGAUUCUAAAUUUCACUUUGAGCAUUUGUCAAAAUAAUUCAUAGAAAAACUUCAGUGCACCAACUAUGUACACAUGCUUGCAUGCAAGUACAAAAAAGGCAACUGGCCAGGACAGAAAAAAAGAAACCAGCCAGACCAGAUUUCCUUUUUAUUUUUUCUGGCAAGUUGGCAAUUAUGAUAAACCAGGAUGUUUAUAGGAGAAAAGCUGCCCUGCUUCAGUAGAACAAUUGUAUCACGUACUUUCAGUGUAUUCUCUGAAUAUUGGGCCUUGAGUAAAGUCAGUAACUUAGAACAGGGACUCUUUCCAUGAAACAGGUGCAAACCUUAUAUUCCCUCUUUAGUUUCCUUUCUCUUAUUUUAUGCCUUAAAUCAAGAAACAGUUUUCUAAGAUCUACAGAGAUACUCGUAGAAACACCACAGGAAGCAAAAGUCCAAAAGUGGCAGGUUAGAACCUGUAACCUCAAGCAGUGGCUGAGACCAAAUGAGAAACUCCCUCCUGGGCACACAGAAGACUGAGCAACUUGGAAGGUGCUGAACGGACUGUGUUCUGGCACCACGAGAUGCAGAGCCAAUCUUAAGAAAUGGGCUACAAAGUGGAGUCCACGACAUGUGAGUGUGGAGAAGAGCAAAUCACAGACCACCUACUGCAAUGUAGUCCGAGUCCUGCCACAAGCACAAUGGAGGACCUUCUUAUAGCAAUACAAUAGGAACUCCAAGUGGCCAGCUACUAGUCAAAGGACAUUUAGUAUAAUGUAAACUUUUUAACUUUGUGUUUUUAAAUACAUUACAACUGUACCCUCGGUUUCACUUCUGAUAUGAUAAAUAAAUAAAUAUAUACAUAAAUAAAUUUUACAUUUUUCCUGUUCAUUGUUUAUUUUUCUCAUUCCAGAUUAGGGUCAUUUUCCAAUGCAAUCAAAAAGUGUGUGCAAACUUUUGUGUGCAUAUAUUUUGCAAGAGAAGUGGACUGUAGCAAUCAUCGGGUUUUCAAAAGGGGCCAUAAACCAGAAGAGGAACAGUGAUCUUGCCUCCCUCCCUCCUCCUUUCUUAUCUUCCUCUGUAUUUAUUCUUUGCAGCAUCAGAAACACUGAGGUGCGAUUGCAGCAGUGCCAGCUCUGUUUCUUUCUGGUAAAUGGACUUCCUCUGGGGGAUGGAAUCUUUUGCACAGUGACCACUCAACCAACCUCUUGCUACAUUGACUUCCUUCCUAUGAAGAAAAAGAAAAGAAGAAAAAGUUUCAUCACAGAAAGCUACCACCAAAGUUUAUCCAUACCUCACAACCUCUGAGGAUGCCUGCCAUAGAUGUGGGCGAAACGUCAGGAGAGAAUACUUCUGGAACAUGACCACACAGCCCGAAAGACAUACAACAACCCUGUGAUCCCGGCCAUGAAAGCCUUCGGCAACACAUUUUUUAUUUUUUAUUUCACACAAAGGGAAAAGAAAACAAACAAAAAAGAGGAUAGGGGUAGUGGAGUACUUGUGAGUAAAUUUGAUCUUUAGAAAUGUCUAUUAUAUUGCUGAGGGGGUGAGAGCGGGUUGUGGGAAGAGAAGUUUUGUAUUUGUUGUAAUUAUUACAUCUAUUUCUUCAUAUUAGUUACUAUUAUACACACUAUCUAAAAUAUUAAAAAUUUCAUAUCCUCUAUAACAAAAAAGAGCAUAGUCUUAUCAUCCUAAGUUAAAACUGGUAGGCAUGUCUUCUUUUGUUGUCCUAUGUUCUUCCUGUCUUCUCUUCCAGAUCUUUACAUUAAGAGUUCAUCUUAAUUAUUCUUAUCAGUUUAUUUAUUUAAUAUCUUUUAUCUAAUUUUAAUUAUUGCUAUAUACAUCUAAAUUUUAAUUUCCUUUGUUAGUAAAAUUAGUAUGGUGCAGGUAAAGGUUUACUAUGUUACACUGUCAUCCUUUCUCUUUCUUUUGAACACUACACAAAGUGUGUGUGUGUGUGUGUGUAUGUAUGUGUGUGUAUAUAUAUAUAAACAAAGUUUGUAAACAUUUCUAUUCUAAUUAAACAUGUCA